Molecule: unclassified non-coding RNA, 237 nt
Filed under: uncultured fungus
Lineage: Eukaryota; Fungi
Description: partial contains 5.8S ribosomal RNA, internal transcribed spacer 2, and large subunit ribosomal RNA
Rfam family: 5.8S ribosomal RNA (bases 1-52)
Source: RNAcentral
AACGCACAUUGCGCCCCCUGGUAUUCCGGGGGGCAUGCCUGUUCGAGCGUCAUUACGCCACUCAAGCCUCGCUUGGUAUUGGGCGUCGCGAGUCCCUCGCGCGCCUCAAAGUCUCCGGCUGUGCGGUCCGUCUCCCAGCGUUGUGGCAACUAUUUCGCAGUGGAGUUCGAGUCGUCGCGGCCGUUAAAUCUUUCAACGGUUGACCUCGGAUCAGGUAGGGAUACCCGCUGAACUUAA